RNAcentral lists this transfer RNA (71 nucleotides) under Chirocentrus dorab (Dorab wolf-herring). Its description in RNAcentral is "tRNA-Gly". It matches the Rfam family "tRNA". Rfam says of the family: Transfer RNA (tRNA) molecules are approximately 80 nucleotides in length. Their secondary structure includes four short double-helical elements and three loops (D, anti-codon, and T loops). The record is from RNAcentral. Lineage: Eukaryota; Metazoa; Chordata; Actinopteri; Clupeiformes; Chirocentridae.
AUCUUUUUAGUAUAGUGAUAGUGCAGGUGACUUCCAAUCACCCAGCCUUGGUUUGAACCCAAGAAAAGAUA